This 305-nucleotide ribosomal RNA is filed under the name uncultured bacterium. RNAcentral's name for it is "bacterial SSU rRNA". It matches the Rfam family "Bacterial small subunit ribosomal RNA", at positions 333 to 654 of the family's 1533-position model. The record is from RNAcentral.
UGGUCCCUACGGGAGGCAGCAGUGGGGAAUAUUGCACAAUGGGGGGAACCCUGAUGCAGCGACGCCGCGUGGGUGAAGGAGCACCUCGGUGCGUAAAGCCCUGUCGGCAGGGAAGAAGCAAGACGGUACCUGACUAAGAAGCCCCGGCUAACUACGUGCCAGCAGCCGCGGUAAUACGUAGGGGGCGAGCGUUAUCCGGAUUCACUGGGUGUAAAGGGAGCGUAGACGGCCAUGCAAGCCAGGGGUGAAAGCCCGGGGCCCAACCCCGGGACUGCCCUUGGAACUGCAUGGCUGGAGUGCGGGGG